This 429-nucleotide ribosomal RNA is filed under the name Acidobacteriota bacterium. Its description in RNAcentral is "Acidobacteria bacterium partial 16S ribosomal RNA". It matches the Rfam family "Bacterial small subunit ribosomal RNA", at positions 355 to 776 of the family's 1533-position model. Lineage: Bacteria; Pseudomonadati; Acidobacteriota. The record is from RNAcentral.
UGGGGAAUUUUGGACAAUGGGCGAAAGCCUGAUCCAGCAAUGCCGCGUGUGUGAAGAAGGCCUUCGGGUUGUAAAGCACUUUUGUCCGGAAAGAAAUGGCUCUGGUUAAUACCUGGGGUCGAUGACGGUACCGGAAGAAUAAGGACCGGCUAACUACGUGCCAGCAGCCGCGGUAAUACGUAGGGUCCAAGCGUUAAUCGGAAUUACUGGGCGUAAAGCGUGCGCAGGCGGUUGUACAAGACCGAUGUGAAAUCCCCGAGCUUAACUUGGGAAUUGCAUUGGUGACUGCACGGCUAGAGUGUGUCAGAGGGGGGUAGAAUUCCACGUGUAGCAGUGAAAUGCGUAGAGAUGUGGAGGAAUACCGAUGGCGAAGGCAGCCCCCUGGGAUAACACUGACGCUCAUGCACGAAAGCGUGGGGAGCAAACAGG